GAUGAACGCUAGCGGCAGGCUUAACACAUGCAAGUCGAGGGGUAGAAGGAGCUUGCUCCUUUGAGACCGGCGCACGGGUGCGUAACGCGUAUGCAAUCUACCUUUUGCAGAGGGAUAGCCCAGAGAAAUUUGGAUUAAUACCUCAUAGUAUGUGAGGAUGGCAUCAUUUUCACAUUAAAGUCACAACGGCAAAAGAUGAGCAUGCGUCCCAUUAGCUAGUUGGUAAGGUAACGGCUUACCAAGGCUACGAUGGGUAGGGGUCCUGAGAGGGAGAUCCCCCACACUGGUACUGAGACACGGACCAGACUCCUACGGGAGGCAGCAGUGAGGAAUAUUGGACAAUGGGCGCAAGCCUGAUCCAGCCAUGCCGCGUGCAGGAUGACGGUCCUAUGGAUUGUAAACUGCUUUUGUACAGGAAGAACACUACUUCGUGAAGUAGCUUGACGGUACUGUAAGAAUAAGGAUCGGCU
This 470-nucleotide ribosomal RNA is filed under the name uncultured bacterium. Its description in RNAcentral is "bacterial SSU rRNA". It matches the Rfam family "Bacterial small subunit ribosomal RNA", at positions 28 to 498 of the family's 1533-position model. The record is from RNAcentral.